This is a non-coding RNA of Pogona vitticeps (central bearded dragon), 1794 nucleotides long. NCBI's taxonomy places the organism in Eukaryota, Metazoa, Chordata, Lepidosauria, Squamata, Agamidae. The record is from RefSeq and is a predicted model, not a curated record.
AAGAAGCACAGAAUAAGGAUGGUUCAAACCUUCUUGCCCGUAUUGUUUUAAUUUUUUGCAUUGACAUCACGUUACUAUUAAUGUUACGAGUGCUGUGAGAAGAUCAGAUACCCAUCGUGCAAUUGACUAUGUACAAGGCUUAGGAAGACAUUAAUGGGCCAUCCAGUGCUCCUUUCUGUUGGACUGGAAGAAAGAGUCGCUGUUUUCUCAAAGAAAGCAUCUGUUCUAGAAGUAGCUAUGAAGAAAUAUAAAGGUCGUCUAGAGCUUGCACUGGGCAAAGUGAAUGUGACUCUGGAUCCAGACACAGCAAAUCCGUGCCUCAUUUUGUCUUUGGACAUCCAUGAGGGGAGAGUGGAAUGUGGUGUUGAAGAGCAGAACCUGCCCAACGUGCCCCAGAAAUUUGAUCCAGAGCCUUGUGUGCUGGGUUACAACAGAUUUACGUCAGGCAAUCAAUGGUGGGAGGUGGAGGUGCAGAAGGAAGGUCUGAUGUGGGCCAUAGGAAUUGCUAAAGAGAGGGUCAGAAGGAAGGGAAAUUUCAUCCCUAACACCAGUGAGGGAAUUUGGGCUAUAGGAAAGGCGUCAGGUGACUCCCACCUUUGCAGGUCUGGGCUUUUACUGCCCCUAAACCAACACUUUUGACCCUGAGAGAUAACCCAAAGAAGAUCUGUGUGUCCUUGGACUAUGAAGAGGGUCGUGUGGAAUUUUUUGAUGCCUGCACUCACCAACUGAUCUUUUCCUUUCCUUCCACCUCAUUCUCUGGCGAGACAAUCCGUCCCUUUUUCUGGGUAGAGCCAGGAGUCAGGUUGAAGUGCUGAAUCUUAAGAUGAUUCCCUUCCAUUCCCUCGAGUGCCAUUUUAAAAAGUGCUACUAUUUUUAAUGGGUUCCACAUGGGAUUUCUGAUCCCAAAGUACCAGACUACAGAUAUUCAAAAGCUACUGAUCAUGAUAGGGCUUUGAUUUAAUUGUGUCUGCUCUCAAAAAAGAAAGAAAAAGGGAAAAAAAGGAAAAGAAAAAAAGGUUCUUUCUCUGAUCUAGAUUUCUUAUCUGGAUUGUCAUUUUUGCGACCUUAAGCAUCACUUCUGGUGAGUUGUAAAUUAAAUAAACAAAUGUUAAAAUUUGUUUGAACUGGACCAGCUUUUCUUGACCUGGAAUCCACCAGGGUCAACUGAGGGCUCAAGAACCCCAUAUACUGAUUUGGCCAUUUUUUUAAAAAAAGAUUGUUUCAUAAUUUUCUGUUCACAUGACACACAGCCAACAUGGAUUCAUUUGUCCUGGAAAGCAGUUUUAUUUCCCCCUCACUGGGAGGGUGGUUUAGAAUUGUACUGAUGAUGAAUUGCUUCAUUCCUUAUCAUUUCAGCCUGUGUGAAUGUUGAUGUCAAUUUAUUUCCUUUGCAACAGGGCUGGGUUUCUGGAUGCUGUGGCUACUUCAAGGUGGCUGCUUUGUACCUUUUUUUAAAAAAAUCUUUUUUUAAAGGCACAUCGAUACAUUAAAGCAGUUGCCACAAAAAAGAGGAAUACAUUUCUCCAAAAGCACCCUCUGGGUAAGAAAAAAAACCCUUGCAGAAGAGAAAGGGCUAUUUCCUGCUUGGGAUUGUUUGAAGAGGAAAAAGAAAGAUACAAACCCAGGAAUACAUUGUUUCACCUUCUGGGUGAAAGGAGUCUAGAAAGAGACAUUUCCUGUUUUGAAUUGUGAAGAAAGGAGUGUUUAAUGUAUUUUCGAAAGCUUUCACGGCCGGGAUCUGAUGGUUGUUAUGGUUUUUUUGGGUUCUUUGGCCGUUUUCUGAAGGUUGUUCUU